Long non-coding RNA from Chiroxiphia lanceolata (lance-tailed manakin), 937 nucleotides. RefSeq lists it as uncharacterized. Lineage: Eukaryota; Metazoa; Chordata; Aves; Passeriformes; Pipridae. The record is from RefSeq and is a predicted model, not a curated record. The transcript is spliced from 3 exons.
GGCCCGGGGGAGGGGCCGGGGGGGGGCCCCGACAGGCCCCUCGACCCCCCCAGCUCCCCUGAAGCCCCCCCCGGCCCCCCCAGAAAAGGGGCUUUUCACGGACGACCUGCACAGGCUGGUGGACGAGUGGGUGCAGGACACGGCCCGGGCACAGGGAACCUCGUCGUGGGUCUCGACCCUUCGUGGCACUCGCGGGACCCCCCAAAAAUGGGGGGAGCUGCCCCCCCCCAAACCCAACCUCCCUCCGGGGGCUGAGUGAGGGGGGGCCCCAAAAACCACUGUGUCCCCUCCGCCCACAUCCCCCCAUUCCACCCCAACCCCCCUGAUUUUGGGUCGUGUCCCCCCCCCGCACGGGCUCAUCCCAAUUUGGCUCCUGAGUCACUUUGUUUCACCCCCUGAGUCCCUUGGUUUGACCCCCUGGAGGGUGACCCCAGAUUUCCAGCCCCAAAAUCGCCUCAUUACACCCCAAAACUCCCCUUUUUGGGGGCCCAACUCCCUCCCAUGGUGUGACCUUACCUUUGGCCCAAAAUUGCCUUAUUUUGCCCCCAAAAUACCCCUUUUUUGCUCCCUCCAGAUUGAAUCCCUUAUUUUGGCCCCAAAUCACUGUAUUUUACCCCAUUUUUUAGGUCACUCCCCCUUUUCACCCUUCCCCCCAGGUGACCCCACUUUCUGAUUCCCAAAAUCCCCUCAUUUCACCUCAAAACCCCCCUUUUUUUGGGCCUUCCCCCUCUGCAUGAGGUGACCCCAAUUUUUAGCCCCCAAAUCACCUCGUUUCAGCCACAAACUCCCUUUUUUGUGGCCUUUUCCAUCCUUCCCUGAUGUGACCCCACUUUUCACCCCCAAAAUCUCUUAAUUUCACCCCAAUCCCCCUUUUUUGGACCUAUUUCCCUUUUUUUACAUCUCCCCCAGGACAUGAUGCCACUUUUUACCCCCAAAA